This 617-nucleotide ribosomal RNA is filed under the name uncultured bacterium. RNAcentral's name for it is "bacterial SSU rRNA". It matches the Rfam family "Bacterial small subunit ribosomal RNA", at positions 105 to 738 of the family's 1533-position model. The record is from RNAcentral.
GGUGAGUAACACGUGAGCAACCUGCCCCACAGACCGGGAUAGCCCAGGGAGACCUGGAUUAAUACCGGAUACCCUCGACCGACCUCAUGGUCUAUCGAGGAAAUGCCUUUGUGCUGUGGGAUGGGCUCGCGGCCUAUCAGCUAGUUGGUGGGGUAACGGCCCACCAAGGCAUCGACGGGUAGCUGGUCUGAGAGGACGAUCAGCCACACUGGGACUGAGACACGGCCCAGACUCCUACGGGAGGCAGCAGCAGGGAAUCUUGCGCAAUGGGCGAAAGCCUGACGCAGCAACGCCGCGUGGGGGAUGAAGGCCUUCGGGUUGUAAACCCCUUUCAGGAGGGAAGAAAUUGACGGUACCUCCAGAAGAAGCACCGGCCAACUACGUGCCAGCAGCCGCGGUAAUACGUAGGGUGCAAGCGUUAUCCGGAAUCAUUGGGCGUAAAGAGCUCGUAGGCGGUUCAGCAAGUCGGCUGUGAAAGUCCGAGGCUCAACCUCGGAAUUGCAGUCGAUACUGCUGUGACUCGAGUCCGGUAGAGGAGAAUGGAAUUCCCGGUGUAGCGGUGAAAUGCGCAGAUAUCGGGAGGAACACCAGUAGCGAAGGCGGUUCUCUGGGCCGGC